UCCCGGGUAGCUCAGACGGUGAAGCAUCUGCCUCCAGUGCAGGAGACCCAGGUUCAAUCCCUGGAUCGGGAA
This 72-nucleotide transfer RNA is filed under the name Bos taurus (domestic cattle). It matches the Rfam family "tRNA". Rfam says of the family: Transfer RNA (tRNA) molecules are approximately 80 nucleotides in length. Their secondary structure includes four short double-helical elements and three loops (D, anti-codon, and T loops). Lineage: Eukaryota; Metazoa; Chordata; Mammalia; Artiodactyla; Bovidae. The record is from Rfam by way of RNAcentral. RNAcentral also lists the same sequence under 1 other name.